CCUACGGGUGGCAGCAGUGGGGAAUAUUGCACAAUGGGGGAAACCCUGAUGCAGCAACGCCGCGUGAAGGAAGACGGUUUUCGGAUUGUAAACUUCUGUUCUUAGUGAAGAAUAAUGACGGUAGCUAAGGAGUAAGCCACGGCUAACUACGUACCAGCAGCCGCGGUAAUCCGUAGGGGGCAAGCGUUGUCAGGAAUUACUGGGUGUAAAGGGAGCGCAGGCGGGAAGGCAAGUCAGCUGUUAAAACUACGGGCUUAACGUGUAUACUGCAGUUGAAACUGGUUUUCGUGAGUAAAGUAGAGGUUGGCGGAAGUCCGGGUGUAGCGGGGAAAUGCGUAGAUAUUCGGAGGAACACCGGUGGCGAAGGCGGCCAACUGGGCUUUAACUGACGCUGAGGCGCGAAAGUGUGGGGAGCAAACAGGAUUAGAUACCCUAGUAGUC
RNAcentral lists this ribosomal RNA (441 nucleotides) under uncultured bacterium. RNAcentral describes it as "partial 16S ribosomal RNA". It matches the Rfam family "Bacterial small subunit ribosomal RNA", at positions 338 to 795 of the family's 1533-position model. The record is from RNAcentral.